Molecule: long non-coding RNA, 178 nt
Organism: Mobula hypostoma (lesser devil ray)
Lineage: Eukaryota; Metazoa; Chordata; Chondrichthyes; Myliobatiformes; Myliobatidae
Exons: 3
Source: RefSeq, a predicted model, not a curated record
GGAAAACCGGUCCAUGAUUUUACUGAUGUGAAAGAAAGGAUUGAAUAUACUGGAUACAUAAGAUGAACAGAAGACUUCACAGUGUCUACUGAAGAAAGAGAGAGAGAAAUAAAAUAAAUCUUCAAGGACAUCUGUAUGUUGCAUGGGCAUUAUUUCAUUGGACUGGUGCAGUUACAAG